Molecule: ribosomal RNA, 273 nt
Filed under: uncultured prokaryote
Description: partial 16S ribosomal RNA
Rfam family: Bacterial small subunit ribosomal RNA
Source: RNAcentral
CACGUAGGAGGCUAGCGUUAUCCGGAUUUACUGGGCGUAAAGCGCGUGUAGGCGGCUCGGAAAGUUGGAUGUGAAAGCUCCUGGCUUAACUGGGAGAGGUCGUUCAAUACUUCCGGGCUUGAGAGUGGUAGAGGGAGGUGGAAUUCCGAGUGUAGUGGUGAAAUGCGUAGAUAUUCGGAGGAACACCAGUGGCGAAAGCGGCCUCCUGGACCAUUUCUGACGCUCAGACGCGAAAGCUAGGGUAGCAAACGGGAUUAGAAACCCUUGUAGUCC